Molecule: ribosomal RNA, 468 nt
Filed under: uncultured bacterium
Lineage: Bacteria
Description: partial 16S ribosomal RNA
Rfam family: Bacterial small subunit ribosomal RNA
Source: RNAcentral
GACGAACGCUGGCGGCGUGCUUAACACAUGCAAGUCGAACGGAAAGGCCCUGCUUUUGUGGGGUGCUCGAGUGGCGAACGGGUGAGUAACACGUGAGUAACCUGCCCUUGACUUUGGGAUAACUUCAGGAAACUGGGGCUAAUACCGUAUAGGAGCUCCUGCUGCAUGGUGGGGGUUGGAAAGUUUCGGCGGUUGGGGAUGGACUCGCGGCUUAUCAGCUUGUUGGUGGGGUAGUGGCUUACCAAGGCUUUGACGGGUAGCCGGCCUGAGAGGGUGACCGGCCCCCUUGGGACUGUGAUACGGGCCACAGUCCUACGGGAUGCAGGAGUGGGGAAUAUUGCAUGAUGGGCGGAAGCCUGAUGCAGCAACGCCGCGUGCGGGAUGACGGCCUUCGGGUUGUAAGCCGCUUUCGCCUGUGACGAAGCGUGAGUGACGGUAAUGGGUAAAGAAGCACCGGCUAACUACGUG